AGUGAACGCUGGCGGUAGGCCUAACACAUGCAAGUCGAACGGCAGCACAGGAGAGCUUGCUCUCUGGGUGGCGAGUGGCGGACGGGUGAGGAAUACAUCGGAAUCUACUUUUUCGUGGGGGAUAACGUAGGGAAACUUACGCUAAUACCGCAUACGACCUACGGGUGUAAGCAGGGGACCUUCGGGCCUUGCGCGAUUGAAUGAGCCGAUGUCGGAUUAGCUAGUUGGCGGGGUAAAGGCCCACCAAGGCGACGAUCCGUAGCUGGUCUGGGAGGAUGAUCAGCCACACUGGAACCGAGACACGGUCCAGACUCCUACGGGAGGCAGCAGUGGGGAAUAUUGGACAAUGGGCGCAAGCCUGAUCCAGCCAUACCGCGUGGGUGAAGAAGGCCUUCGGGUUGUAAAGCCCUUUUGUUGGGAAAGAAAUCCAGCCGGCUAAUACCUGGUUGGGAUGACGGUACCCAAAGAAUAAGCACCGGCUAACUUCGUGCCAGCAGCCGCGGUAA
Molecule: ribosomal RNA, 506 nt
Filed under: uncultured bacterium
Lineage: Bacteria
Description: partial 16S ribosomal RNA
Rfam family: Bacterial small subunit ribosomal RNA
Source: RNAcentral